Molecule: ribosomal RNA, 776 nt
Filed under: uncultured Verrucomicrobiota bacterium
Lineage: Bacteria; Pseudomonadati; Verrucomicrobiota
Description: bacterial SSU rRNA
Rfam family: Bacterial small subunit ribosomal RNA
Source: RNAcentral
UAUUUUCCCGUAGCAAUAUGGGAAAGUAGGAGCGGCGCAAGGGUGCGUAACACGUGGAUCAUCUGCCUGGAAGUUCGGAAUAAUCCCGAGAAAUCGGGACUAAUGCCGGAUGUGGUUGAGAGACUAAAGUUGGGGCUCCGCAAGGACCUGACGCUUCCAGAUGAGUCCGCGGCCUAUCAGCUAGUUGGCGGGGUAAAGGCCCACCAAGGCUAAGACGGGUAGCUGGUCUGAGAGGACGACCAGCCACACUGGAACUGAGACACGGUCCAGACACCUACGGGUGGCAGCAGUCGAGAAUUUUUCUCAAUGGGCGAAAGCCUGAAGGAGCGACGCCGCGUGGGGGAUGAAGGGCUUCGGUCCGUAAACCCCUGUCAUUUGCGAACAAACCUUACCAAUGAACAAUUGGUGAGCUGAUUGUAGCGAAAGAGGAAGGGACGGCUAACUCUGUGCCAGCAGCCGCGGUAAUACAGAGGUCCCAAGCGUUGUUCGGAUUCACUGGGCGUAAAGGGUGCGCAGGUGGGUUGGCAAGUUUGAUGUGAAAGCCCCGGGCUUAACCCGGGAAUGGCAUUGAAUACUGCUGAUCUGGAGGAUCGGAGGGGGGACUGGAAUUCUUGGUGUAGCAGUGAAAUGCGUAGAUAUCAAGAGGAACACCAGUGGCGAAGGCGAGUCCCUGGACGAUACCUGACACUGAGGCACGAAAGCCAAGGGAGCAGACAGGAUUAGAUACCCUGGUAGUCUUGGCUGUAAACGGUGCGCAUUUGCUGUAAACGGAAUCG